GUUUGUGUUUUGAUGGAUUGAUUGAUUGAUUUCCUUUGGACCGUCUGAUCAUAUAUAUAUAUAUAUAAGGCCCGCUGAUGUUGCAUGUCUUAUUGAUCAGAAAACCUAUUUAUCUAUUUUCUCAGAUUUUUGCUAUUUUUCUCUUCUUUCUAUUAAAUAAAAUCACCAGAAAAUAAGUUACCACAUCGUUUCAGUGCUUUACUAUAGGACUCCAAGAGUCGCAUCUGAAAUUCCCUAAUAACUGUCGGCCUAAAUGAGUCGUCCUUCCCGUAACGUUAGUUCCUCACCAGUCACCAGGAAAAAAAAAGCAAAAUAUCAACCGAAUUUUUUCCCUUUCGAUUCACAUGCCAUACAAAAAAUUUAGCCGGUAGUAUCUGCCCUCUCCUUUUUCUUUUCCCUUUUCCGCUUUACAGUUACAUCUAAAAGUCUUUUUUGGUCCCUUUGUCCCCAUUAUGUUUGCAUCUUUUGAUUCGCUGGAAUUUGGGUUUAACAUGGGCUUGCUUUGUUUUGCAGUUCAUUAUUUUGCUGGUUGUCAGUGUUGUUGGUAAUUUUAUUGUUUAUAUUUUACCAUUCUGAUUGCAACUUUGUUGUUCAAAUUCGUCUUUUUGAUUUGUUUAACCGAAUCACUUAUUGGCUAAUCUCCCGCUGAAUUCCGCUUUCCACACUUUACAAUUCACUUAUUGGCUAAUUGUCCUGUUGAAUUCCUCUUUGUAGGUUUAAGAAUUGCUCUCUGCGAUCAACUAUUGCUUCUCUCCUUCAACAACUUGUGCUUUCUUCUUCAACUGCUCUUUCUAAAUUUGUUUAGUUAUUUUGGUGAAACAAUUCACUUAUCAUUAUUAUCGCAUUGAAUAAGUUGCUAUUCCCUCUUGUGUACAGAUAAUUUAUAGCUUUGUAGCAGAGAUGUGGACGAGUGAAGAAUCGGGUCCUACAGAGAUCACUCUUGAAAGUUCUAAUGGUUCAGUUACACUCGAGCAAAUAUCAUUAGAACGGUAGAAGGCUAUUCGGAUGUAACUGUUUUGAGACACUUUCAAAGUGUUGCUAACUAACCGAGAAGCAAUCACACCAGUGAAAGUGUUCAACUUCUUUCCACGAGAUUAAAGCAGUUUUCCCACUAACAAGGACAUGGGAAUCCUGAUACUCACAUUGGUUAUUGGAUAUCGCAGCUUUUUCAGAGUUGACUUUGGUAGAAUUCAAGAGAUGAUUGAAGAAAUUCGAUGAGAACAAGGAUGGAGAAAAUAAGCGAAUAAGAUCUUACAGGGGCGAUCCAUUUGUCGACCAGAGGCUGGUUCUACUGACGCUAAUGGCAAUGGAUAUUGGUGAGGAUGAAAUCGUCAACCUCAACGAGUUCGCGCUGAAGCACUCGAGUAUUAGGAUCGCCGCACCUUAUUAAUUUUCAAGCUAAGUCUUUUUGUUUAUAUUUUGAUUAUUAUGGCAGAAUGUUGUUUGCUUCAUUUGAGUUUUUCUUUUUUGUUUUCCUCAAUGUGAAUUUAAUAACUGUAAACGUCUCCCAUUUUGGUAUUCUUUAGCGUUGUAUACUUUCGAGCAUCAAAGAACAAUACCUAAAUAAUGUAAAAGAUAUUGUAAGCGAGUCAACAAUCCAAGAAUUUUUCAGUGUUCUCAUGCGAUAUUAAAUAUGUCGAGACUCAACAAUUUCAGUAGCUGGUUUACAUUUGACAUUUUGUCCAAAAAGUUACUGAGUACCAAAAAACCAAAAAAAAAAAAAAUAACACUCCUAAUGAUGAAAUUUUCAAAAUUAUAUAGUAACAAUCAAAUCUAUUAAACUUGAAAUCAAAUAUAUUUUGCUUUGACGACUAAUAUAUUUAUGAUAGUCGGAUAACAG
Molecule: long non-coding RNA, 1840 nt
Organism: Lycium barbarum (goji berry)
Lineage: Eukaryota; Viridiplantae; Streptophyta; Magnoliopsida; Solanales; Solanaceae
Exons: 3
Source: RefSeq, a predicted model, not a curated record